CGGAAGUCGUUCGAAAGCCGAUCUCCCAAUGCAACCGCGAGGAACGCCGUAGGAAGAAUGGAAGGCAGGAGGAGGGUCGCGCUUUCCUCCUCAGUCCUCUUCCUCCCUUCGGCUUCUCCUGCCUCGUCCUCCAAGUUCCGCACCCUCUCGCCACAAGCAAGCAAGCGUGAUCGAAGCGAUGCCACCGCUACCACCACCGCCCUUUGGCUCGUCGCCCAGAACUCAUUGGGCGUCCUAAGAAAUGUUGUUUCAUCUGAUGAUGAACUACUUGGUGAAGGCUGCAGCAUCUCCAACUUGUAUUUGACAACACUCGAUCCAACUGCCAGGAUGCACUGAUAGAUGUGAAGGUCAUCUUUCACCCUUAGUUAAGUUCCCACUCAGAUCUUGCAGCAAGAUAGAUCCGGAAAACCCUACCAGUGCAAAACUUACACUCACAGGAAAGGUAUGAUAAAAGAUUCUGGUAAGAAAAAAGUCUCCAAAUUGUUUUCUAGUUUAGUCUGCUGCAUUUCAUUCUUUUGUUCUUUUUUUUAAAUUAUUCAGCACUAAUUUAUUCAAAUUGUUAAUUAUGUGGAUGACAAAGAAAUUUUUGUUGGAA
Musa acuminata AAA Group (dessert banana) is the source of this 595-nucleotide long non-coding RNA. RefSeq lists it as uncharacterized. Lineage: Eukaryota; Viridiplantae; Streptophyta; Magnoliopsida; Zingiberales; Musaceae. The record is from RefSeq and is a predicted model, not a curated record. The transcript has 2 exons.